UACGGGGGGGAGCAAGCGUUGUUCGGAUUUACUGGGCGUAAAGGGCGCGUAGGCGGCUGUGACAAGUCACUUGUGAAAUCUCCGGGGCUUAACUCGGAACGGUCAAGUGAUACUGUCGGACUAGAGUACAGAAGGGGGCAACUGGAAUUCUCGGUGUAGCGGUGAAAUGCGUAGAUAUCGGGAGGAACACCAGUGGCGAAGGCGACUACCUGGCCUGUUCUUGACGCUGAGGCGCGAAAGCUAGGGGAGCAAACGGGG
RNAcentral lists this ribosomal RNA (258 nucleotides) under uncultured bacterium. Its description in RNAcentral is "partial 16S ribosomal RNA". It matches the Rfam family "Bacterial small subunit ribosomal RNA", at positions 524 to 777 of the family's 1533-position model. The record is from RNAcentral.